Molecule: non-coding RNA, 76 nt
Organism: Desmophyllum pertusum
Lineage: Eukaryota; Metazoa; Cnidaria; Anthozoa; Scleractinia; Caryophylliidae
Source: the annotation of a GenBank genome assembly
GUCACUGUAGCUCAGUGGUUAGAGCAUCCGACCAGUGUGCGGAAGGUCAUGGAUUCGAUUUCUUUGUCUCGUGACA